Molecule: long non-coding RNA, 406 nt
Filed under: Homo sapiens (human)
Lineage: Eukaryota; Metazoa; Chordata; Mammalia; Primates; Hominidae
Description: non-protein coding lnc-CXorf67-2:2
Source: RNAcentral
UGUGGCUUUUUUUAUCAGUUACCAGAUGCAUUCUGAUAUUCAGCUGUAAGGAAUUGAGAGAGGAUUAUUCCAAUUCCUCUUUCUACAGCAUUUUUGUAUAGUAAGUAGUACAGUUUUCAGUACACACCUUAAAUAAGGAUAGUGUUCCCCAGAUCCCCACUGGGACCUCGACUCAGAUCAUGGGGACUGGGGUAAUAAACAUCUGCUGACUUGUGUUCUAGAAGGACUAAGGAGAAUUAGGAAAAAGCCCAAGAAUUAUUCAAUGAUGUCCACCAUAACUCAGGGAAAGGAAGAAAAUCCUCUGCCUUCCUCAAGUGGCUACUGGAGGCCUUAAGAAAAUAUACUCCUCUGUCACCCAACUCACUUGAGGGUCAAUUGUUCCUAAAGGAUAAGUUUAUUACCCAAU